GGCUCGCUGACUAAACAAAAUUAUGCUGAUGUGUACUAAAACAAAAUUAAAAAUUAAGUUUUCAAAUUUUUUUAUUAUAUUAGAGGGCAAAAAUGUAAAUAACCAAAAACCCAUUAACAACUAAUAUAAGAAAUAAUUAAAUAAAUUGAAUAACUAAUGCUCUCCACAUCUCUCCCAUUCUAAAUCAUGAACAUUCGCCAAAUCAGAUGAAACCCAUAACACAUUAAUCAGAUGAAACCCAGAUCUAUUCAGCCAUAACACAUGAGGUGGCAGAUGAAUAAAGAGCUCCAAGAUCUGUUGUGUGUUAUGAGCUAACAAAUCAGAUUUGGCUGAAUAAAGAGAUGAAACGGCAAUAGACCAAAUUUGGCUAACAAUUCAUUGCAGCAGUAGAUUUGGCUGAAUAGAUGUGUUAUGUGUUAUGAGCACCCAGAUGAAACCCAGAUGAAACGGUUUCAUCUAUGGAGCUCUUGAACGAUGGCGGAUCUGGCAAGGCCCCGGUGGUCGGCUACAAAGAUAUUGGCGGAUUUGUCUACCAUUUUCGGCUUCUGUUGAUUGUUGGGAGAUCUCCCCAUCUCCACCAUGGUCGCCAUUGUAGAAAUCUGUCUGUGUACAGAUUUGUUUUGUUUGAACUGAACUGAAAGCUUUUUUGUUGGUGUGAUGUUGAUGAUGGCGGUACCGAGAAUGGGUUAUGCGUUGAUGAUAGUAGUGUGAUGGAGGAAGAUGAAAUGCUAGAUCUGAUUUGGGUUUUAUUUUUGUUUAAAUUUAGUUAAAAUUAAUAUAAAAUAUUAUAUUAUUUUUUUCUCCUUUAAAAUCAAUAAAAUAAUUUAAAGAUCAGCUUUCUUUUAACAUAAGAAUUGCAUUGCCAUGUGGCCAUACCAC
Molecule: long non-coding RNA, 879 nt
Filed under: Panax ginseng (ginseng)
Lineage: Eukaryota; Viridiplantae; Streptophyta; Magnoliopsida; Apiales; Araliaceae
Description: long non-coding RNA (PGIN_LNC012063)
Source: RNAcentral